RNAcentral lists this ribosomal RNA (3054 nucleotides) under Campylobacter jejuni. RNAcentral's name for it is "23S ribosomal RNA". It matches the Rfam family "Bacterial large subunit ribosomal RNA". The record is from RNAcentral. Lineage: Bacteria; Pseudomonadati; Campylobacterota; Epsilonproteobacteria; Campylobacterales; Campylobacteraceae.
AGGUAAGCUACUAAGAGCGAAUGGUGGAUGCCUUGACUGGUAAAGGCGAUGAAGGACGUACUAGACUGCGAUAAGCUACGGGGAGCUGUCAAGAAGCUUUGAUCCAUAGAUUUCCGAAUGGGGCAACCCAAUGUAUAGAGAUAUACAUUACCUAUAUAGGAGCGAACGAGGGGAAUUGAAACAUCUUAGUACCCUCAGGAAAAGAAAUCAAUAGAGAUUGCGUCAGUAGCGGCGAGCGAAAGCGCAAGAGGGCAAACCCAGUGCUUGCACUGGGGGUUGUAGGACUGCAAUGUGCAAGAGCUGAGUUUAGCAGAACAUUCUGGAAAGUAUAGCCAUAGAGGGUGAUAGUCCCGUAUGCGAAAAACAAAGCUUAGCUAGCAGUAUCCUGAGUAGGGCGGGACACGAGGAAUCCUGUCUGAAUCCGGGUCGACCACGAUCCAACCCUAAAUACUAAUACCAGAUCGAUAGUGCACAAGUACCGUGAGGGAAAGGUGAAAAGAACUGAGGUGAUCAGAGUGAAAUAGAACCUGAAACCAUUUGCUUACAAUCAUUCAGAGCACUAUGUAGCAAUACAGUGUGAUGGACUGCCUUUUGCAUAAUGAGCCUGCGAGUUGUGGUGUCUGGCAAGGUUAAGCAAACGCGAAGCCGUAGCGAAAGCGAGUCUGAAUAGGGCGCUUAGUCAGAUGCUGCAGACCCGAAACGAAGUGAUCUAUCCAUGAGCAAGUUGAAGCUAGUGUAAGAACUAGUGGAGGACUGAACCCAUAGGCGUUGAAAAGCCCCGGGAUGACUUGUGGAUAGGGGUGAAAGGCCAAUCAAACUUCGUGAUAGCUGGUUCUCUCCGAAAUAUAUUUAGGUAUAGCGUUGUGUCGUAAUAUAAGGGGGUAGAGCACUGAAUGGGCUAGGGCAUACACCAAUGUACCAAACCCUAUCAAACUCCGAAUACCUUAUAUGUAAUCACAGCAGUCAGGCGGCGAGUGAUAAAAUCCGUCGUCAAGAGGGAAACAACCCAGACUACCAGCUAAGGUCCCUAAAUCUUACUUAAGUGGAAAACGAUGUGAAGUUACUUAAACAACCAGGAGGUUGGCUUAGAAGCAGCCAUCCUUUAAAGAAAGCGUAAUAGCUCACUGGUCUAGUGAUUUUGCGCGGAAAAUAUAACGGGGCUAAAGUAAGUACCGAAGCUGUAGACUUGCACACAACUUAGAUUAUUUAAGUUUAGAAUAUGAGAAACUAAGUUAUGUUUAGUUAUAUUUUUACUGAUUUUUAUAGAGUAAAGAUAGAAAUAAAACUUAGUAAAAUCAGUAAAAAUAUUCUUAGGCUAAAGUUAAGUAGUUUAAGUUGUGUGUAAGUGGUAGGAGAGCGUUCUAUUUGCGUCGAAGGUAUACCGGUAAGGAGUGCUGGAGCGAAUAGAAGUGAGCAUGCAGGCAUGAGUAGCGAUAAUUAAUGUGAGAAUCAUUAACGCCGUAAACCCAAGGUUUCCUACGCGAUGCUCGUCAUCGUAGGGUUAGUCGGGUCCUAAGUCGAGUCCGAAAGGGGUAGACGAUGGCAAAUUGGUUAAUAUUCCAAUACCAACAUUAGUGUGCGAUGGAAGGACGCUUAGGGCUAAGGGGGCUAGCGGAUGGAAGUGCUAGUCUAAGGUCGUAGGAGGUUAUACAGGCAAAUCCGUAUAACAAUACUCCGAGAACUGAAAGGCUUUUUGAAGUCUUCGGAUGGAUAGAAGAACCCCUGAUGCCGUCGAGCCAAGAAAAGUUUCUAAGUUUAGCUAAUGUUGCCCGUACCGUAAACCGACACAGGUGGGUGGGAUGAGUAUUCUAAGGCGCGUGGAAGAACUCUCUUUAAGGAACUCUGCAAAAUAGCACCGUAUCUUCGGUAUAAGGUGUGGUUAGCUUCGUACUAGGAUUUACUCCGAAAGCGAAGAAACUUACAACAAAGAGUCCCUCCCGACUGUUUACCAAAAACACAGCACUCUGCUAACUCGUAAGAGGAUGUAUAGGGUGUGACGCCUGCCCGGUGCUCGAAGGUUAAUUGAUGGGGUUAGCAUUAGCGAAGCUCUUGAUCGAAGCCCGAGUAAACGGCGGCCGUAACUAUAACGGUCCUAAGGUAGCGAAAUUCCUUGUCGGUUAAAUACCGACCUGCAUGAAUGGCGUAACGAGAUGGGAGCUGUCUCAAAGAGGGAUCCAGUGAAAUUGUAGUGGAGGUGAAAAUUCCUCCUACCCGCGGCAAGACGGAAAGACCCCGUGGACCUUUACUACAGCUUGACACUGCUACUUGGAUAAGAAUGUGCAGGAUAGGUGGGAGGCUUUGAGUAUAUGACGCCAGUUGUAUAUGAGCCAUUGUUGAGAUACCACUCUUUCUUAUUUGGGUAGCUAACCAGCUUGAGUUAUCCUCAAGUGGGACAAUGUCUGGUGGGUAGUUUGACUGGGGCGGUCGCCUCCCAAAUAAUAACGGAGGCUUACAAAGGUUGGCUCAGAACGGUUGGAAAUCGUUCGUAGAGUAUAAAGGUAUAAGCCAGCUUAACUGCAAGACAUACAAGUCAAGCAGAGACGAAAGUCGGUCUUAGUGAUCCGGUGGUUCUGUGUGGAAGGGCCAUCGCUCAAAGGAUAAAAGGUACCCCGGGGAUAACAGGCUGAUCUCCCCCAAGAGCUCACAUCGACGGGGAGGUUUGGCACCUCGAUGUCGGCUCAUCGCAUCCUGGGGCUGGAGCAGGUCCCAAGGGUAUGGCUGUUCGCCAUUUAAAGCGGUACGCGAGCUGGGUUCAGAACGUCGUGAGACAGUUCGGUCCCUAUCUGCCGUGGGCGUAAGAAGAUUGAAGAGAUUUGACCCUAGUACGAGAGGACCGGGUUGAACAAACCACUGGUGUAGCUGUUGUUCUGCCAAGAGCAUCGCAGCGUAGCUAAGUUUGGAAAGGAUAAACGCUGAAAGCAUCUAAGCGUGAAGCCAACUCUAAGAUGAAUCUUCUCUAAGCUCUCUAGAAGACUACUAGUUUGAUAGGCUGGGUGUGUAAUGGAUGAAAGUCCUUUAGCUGACCAGUACUAAUAGAGCGUUUGGCUUAUCUUU